AUACGUAGGGAGCAAGCGUUGUCCGGAAUUACUGGGUGUAAAGGGCGAGUAGGCGGGACAAAAAGUCAGAUGUGAAAACUAUGGGCUCAACCCAUAGCCUGCAUUUGAAACUUUUGUUCUUGAGAGAUGGAGAGGUAAGCGGAAUUCCUAGUGUAGCGGUGAAAUGCGUAGAUAUUAGGAGGAACACCAGUGGCGAAGGCGGCUUACUGGGCUUUAACUGACGCUGAGGCUCGAAAGCGUGGGUAGC
RNAcentral lists this ribosomal RNA (247 nucleotides) under uncultured bacterium. Its description in RNAcentral is "partial 16S ribosomal RNA". It matches the Rfam family "Bacterial small subunit ribosomal RNA", at positions 523 to 769 of the family's 1533-position model. The record is from RNAcentral.